This is a ribosomal RNA of Rhodnius prolixus, 1506 nucleotides long. It matches the Rfam family "Eukaryotic large subunit ribosomal RNA", at positions 1472 to 2691 of the family's 3401-position model. The record is from Rfam. NCBI's taxonomy places the organism in Eukaryota, Metazoa, Arthropoda, Insecta, Hemiptera, Reduviidae.
CCAGCGAGGCCCUGGAGGACUGAUGUGGAGAAGGGUUUUCUUGUGAACAGCUGUUGCACAAGAGUCAGUCGAUCCUAAGCCCUAGGAGAAAUCCGAAGCGAUAUGCGCCCGUUAAAUAAUUUUUUUUUAUUAAAUGUUUGGCGCUAUCUGGGCGAAAGGGAAUCCGGUUCCUAUUCCGGAACCCGGCAGCGGAACCGUUCCAAAUCGGGCUCUCAUUUGAGAACUCGUCGGGGUAACCCGACAAGACCCGGAGACGCCGUAGGGAAAUUCGGAGAGAGUUGUCUCUUCUCUAUAAGCGUUCGAGUUCCCUGGAAACCUCUAGCAGGGAGAUAGGGUUUGGAACGCGAAGAGCACCGCAGUUACGGCGGUGUCCGGAUCUUCCCUACGGACCUUGAAAAUCCGGGAGAGGGCCACGAGGAACCCCGCGCCGGCUCGUACCCAUAUCCGCAGCAGGUCUCCAAGGUCAAUAGCCUCUAGUCGAUAGAAUAAUGUAGGUAAGGGAAGUCGGCAAAUCCGAUCCGUAACUUCGGGAUAAGGAUUGGCUCUGAGGACUGAGUCGUGCCGGGCUUGGUCGGGAAGUGGAGCGGUGUCAACGUGCCGGGCCUGGGCGAGGAGAAAAUUGCGUUUUUGCGCUUUUGGAUCCGAGCUCGGUCCCGUGCCUUGGCCACCCACGGAUCUUCCUUGCUGCGAGUCGUUAGCCGUGUGGUUACCGCUGGCUUUUGCUAGCUGGUCGACCUGGCUUACGAUCUCUUCGGCCGACAUUCAACAGUCAACUCAGAACUGGCACGGACAAGGGGAAUCCGACUGUCUAAUUAAAACAAAGCAUUGCGAUGGCCCCAACGGGUGUUGACGCAAUGUGAUCUUCUGCCCAGUGCUCUGAAUGUCAAAGUGAAGAAAUUCAAGCAAGCGCGGGUAAACGGCGGGAGUAACUAUGACUCUCUUAAGGUAGCCAAAUGCCUCGUCAUCUAAUUAGUGACGCGCAUGAAUGGAUUAACGAGAUUCCCUCUGUCCCUAUCUACUAUCUAGCGAAACCACGGCCAAGGGAACGGGCUUGGAAAAAUCAGCGGGGAAAGAAGACCCUGUUGAGCUUGACUCUAGUCUGGUACUGUAAGAAAACAUGAGAGGUGUAGCAUAAGUGGGAGGUAGUUUUUUUAAACUGCCGACAAUGAAAUACCACUACUUUCAUUGUUUCCUUACUUACUCGGUGAGGCGGAGGGCGUCCGUCGGGGUGAUACCACCUCGGCGUGACGGUAUUCUCGUGCCAAACGCCAAGGGUUGUCGACGUUCGAUCGUACGCCUUGUCGCGUUUAAGAUGUGGAUAUUCCUAAACGGAAUUGAUGCGUCUUAUUCGUUGUGCAAUGGCGGAUUCGGUCGUAUCGUUCGGCAACAUACUCCCUAGCGUGAUCCGAUUCGAGGACACUGCCAGGCGGGGAGUUUGACUGGGGCGGUACAUCUGUCAAAAAAUAACGCAGGUGUCCUAAGGUCAGCUCAGCGAGGACAGAAACC